UUCUCCACUGUUUUUCACAUAUCCCAGCAACUGUCUACAUGCCUAUGUCUCUCUAGAGUUGCACAAGUAUUAUCAUUGACAUACUUACAUGCAUCUAAAAAUACCUUUUCACUGAAAAGAAAGCAGUGGCUGUCCUGCAUCCGAUUGUUGCCUGGGUCACUUCCGGAACCUGAAAGAGAUCCCAGGACCCUGACCCCAAGUCCACGAGCUGACCAACGGGUCUACCUCUUCCAGGCGGAGCAUCCUGGCAGUUUGCACAGAGGAAACAGAACCCAAGUUGCCCUCCGGCCCAGGGGAUGGUAUUGACCCUCAGGUACACAUCAGUCAAUCAUCAAUCAAUCAGAGAAUUUCGCAAAUAUCUACCAUGUGCUCAGAACUGGCAUUUGAGGACGUGGCUCAGGUUUCAGGUUCUUCCAGCCGAUGACGUUAGGGCAAGAAAAGGAUUGGAGGACAGCUGGAGGUGAAGGCAAACAGCGCCAGCCAACGUCACCUGGUGCCGUGACGCGACGUCAGUGAGCUCCGCUUUCUCCCUCUCAGUCUUGGUAGCGAAGCCCACACCUGCUCCCACACCCCAGGCACACAGUGUUGUGCGAGGAAGGGAUUUGGAGCCACUCCUCCCUAGCACAGCCUGCCCAUUGAGCACCUAAGUUGGGCUCUCCCCCAGCCCCAGCCCCCAUCACUGGACAGUCAUGGGAAGUGGCUGCUACCAGGGAGAAGAACCGCAUGACCUUGAGCAAGACAGCUUUCUUCAGUGGAGGGGAGGCAAUUCUCCAAGAGACACCCAUCUGAGAGCUGUCAGCCAACUCCCCCAGCAGGUGGGCGAAUGGGUGCCUCAGUCCUGAAGGGGGGACUCUAGGUGGGCAGCUCAGCACAGAAUCAAU
Molecule: long non-coding RNA, 881 nt
Organism: Myotis lucifugus (little brown bat)
Lineage: Eukaryota; Metazoa; Chordata; Mammalia; Chiroptera; Vespertilionidae
Exons: 5
Source: RefSeq, a predicted model, not a curated record